CUCAGAAGCUCACCGGUGUUGGGCCUGGUUCGUACUUGAAUGGGAGACCGCUGGGAAUACCAGGUGCUACAGUGG
Molecule: ribosomal RNA, 75 nt
Filed under: Periophthalmus magnuspinnatus
Lineage: Eukaryota; Metazoa; Chordata; Actinopteri; Gobiiformes; Gobiidae
Source: RNAcentral